GUGCAGAUAUGAUACAGAACUCUAUCCUGGGAUGUCGAAUGUCCAGACCAGGACAGUGGCUUCGCUUGUUACUUUCUUCUAAAGGAAAAUUCAAGACUGGGGAUGAAAGACAAACAUAUGCUAUUGAACAUCCAGAACCCCUUCUGCAUUUUGCACUCAGCUCAGGCAAUCACUCAGAUCCCGCGGUUCGAGUGUAUACACCGAAAAGAGUACACGAGGAGCUGGAAGUCGCAAAAGAAGAUUAUAUCAGAGCUACCUUUGGUGUGAAGAAGGAUCAGAAAAUAGUGUUACCAAAAGUUGUGGAGUCCUUUGCUAAGGAUUCUGGCCUAUGUCCUGCCGGUGUGUUAGAGAUGAUCCAGCAAUCUUUGCCGGAAUCUCUUAGAAAGAGCAUUAAGAAGAUUCCACAGGGAAAGGGCCGCAAGAACAUUGAAUGGAUUCCUCAUAAUUUUGCUUUCCGGUAUCUAAUAAUGAAGGACCUGGUGAAAUGAUGAUGGUAUGUUAAGAUUAAUCGAAGAAUGUGGUUGUUUCUUUCUUUUUUUUCUUUGAAAGAAGUCUCAAUUCUUUUUCCCAUCACUUGUGUAUACAUGAAUGGUAGUUUUCAGUUAGAAUGGAGGAUGAUCAAA
RNAcentral lists this unclassified non-coding RNA (623 nucleotides) under Hevea brasiliensis (rubber tree). Lineage: Eukaryota; Viridiplantae; Streptophyta; Magnoliopsida; Malpighiales; Euphorbiaceae. The record is from RNAcentral.